UACUGACCCCACAGUUGCAGGAAGCAAUCAAUUAUUAAGGCUAUCUCCAUAACAUUUAUUGUAGAAGUCAAGAUGCUUUCAGUUAUAUUUUAUCAAAACCCAAUCCAAACUUAAAGUGAUAAGUAUGAUCUCAUGUAACAGGAGAACCAUGACAAAGUUAACUUCAAGCAUAGCUGUAUACAGGGACUAAGAUAUUUUUAUUUCUUCUCUCACCUCUCUAAGUUGUCUUAUUUUCAUUGAGAUCUACUCUACUAGGUAGGGAUCAUGUCUUGUCCCAAACAAGAAUCCCCACAGUUCACAAUGUAAAAAGAUGAAAAGUGCUGCUCCCCCUCACUGUCCAGAUGAAAUCUCAUGGAAGCAUUCUGAUUGGCCAUGCUUUAGUCAUGUACUCCCCCUUGAACCCAUCACAAAGUCCAGAUAUAUAAAGGAACUCUGAUUGCUUCAUUAUGAUCUCAUGUUCAGCCCUUGACCUGGAGUGCAACAGCAGAUUGACAGUACCUCCAGGCCCACAUGGAAGGGGGAAAGUGAGAUAGUUAUUAAAAUAAGGGAGGGGGCAUUUUGCUCAGACCAGUAGAAAAAUCAAGGAAGAUAGAUAGGUAGACAAAUUAACAGUGGUACUUAUAGAAAGAUAGGUCUUGUGUGGAAGUAUAAAUAACUCUCUUAUCAAUCAAGUCAAUUUAGUAGCAGACUUUGUGAUAUUCUGUGCCCUUUUAAGAAGACAAGGGGAGAAAAGUGGCAGAUAAACUAAAGAAAUAGUGAAUCCUGAUUUUUGAUAUGCUAAAUUGGAAUAACAUUGCAGGUAUCUUCAACAGUGCUUGCUCCUUCAAGGCAGAAUCAAGCAAAGAAGCUGAAAAAGAUGCUAAGGACAACUUUUCUUUUUGUCUUUGGUUACAAAAAGUAUGUUAAAGAAAUAUAACCCCCAACGCACAGCUCUGAUAGGAUGAAGGGCAUGUUUCCUGCCAUAAUUGAUAUGGAUUCACAUCAGCUGGUGGAGGGAUGAAGGUUAUGAAGCUCCCACUAUGUGCCAGACUUGCUGCGUGUUUGAUUUUGAAGCCUUAUGGCAAUCUGUCAAGGAGCCCCCACAGCCUGGGAAGAACUGUCCAGACUUCAUCUCCAGUUGACAGGUCAUGGCCAUGAAUCCAGCAUGUAGUAAAGUGGCAGACAGGUGGAGUGAUGCUUCCAAUGUCAAGUGCUUUGCUGAGGGAAUUUCUCAUGUAAUUGACCAACUUCUUGGCAAAAAGAGGUAAGAAAACACAGCACUUUCUAGUCUUGAGGUUCCUGACUACAAUCACAGAAUGUCUGGCUUAGCAGAUGUUAUGACUAUUGCAUUUCAGCCCAUGCUACUUCUAUUCAAAAUAUGCAACAGUUUGACUUUGAAGUCACAAAUUGACUGAAAAUGUUUUACUCGACAAUUUAGUUGCAUAGUGCUUAGAAAAGGGCGACAUGAUCCUUUUUCACAUCAGUUGUUUAUGGAGUUAUAAUACAAAUAUACAUAAAUGAGUAAAGAAAAAUACCUAAUUGUGAUUAUCAAAGGAUCAGUUAAAAAUUAACUAUGAAGUAAACUUGAGAAAUCAGUGAAUAACCUAUUUAUAUCUUUUGGAGUAACCUAAUAAUAUUAGCAUGUUGGGAAUAUUAACUUUUUAAAUUAAUAAGUAAAUUUUGUUUAAAAUAUUAUUUUCUUUCAAUAAUUCAAAGUUUCAAUAACCACAGGAGGAGUUUCAAGUUUUAUGUACUCAUAUAUUCGUUCAUUGCAACACAGUUUCUAUAUAGUCAUUUCGCCAACCCACCUGAGGGAAUAUUUAUUGCAGACUUUUUGGUCAGCAACAUUUAGUGUUUAAAUGAAAGUUGAACAGUUGGGUCUUAAAACAUUUAUUUAUAAAAUGAGUUAUGUAUAAAUGUAAAAGUUGAUAAUUUAAUGUAUUUACUACACUGACAGUGCUAAUUAUUUAGUACUCACACUGUAAUUUCUAUGUUAAUGAUAAUUGUGGAGUUCAAAGUCCAGCUAUUGGUGUAAUCAUCUAAUAUUACAUAUCUCAAGG
This 2039-nucleotide long non-coding RNA is filed under the name Oryctolagus cuniculus (rabbit). Its description in RNAcentral is "lncRNA (ENSOCUG00000039596.1)". Lineage: Eukaryota; Metazoa; Chordata; Mammalia; Lagomorpha; Leporidae. The record is from RNAcentral.